UGGUUUCUAGGGCAUACAUCCAACUGACAGAUGUAUGUGGAAGGGGUAGUUUAGCUCUUUGAAAAUUUUGGGCAUUAAAUAAAUGGGAAGUGUUAGUAUUAUGUAAUCAAAGUUUUUUUCUUUUCCCAUUGGGUAAAUCAGCGAAAUCUUCCACUUUAAUUCAUUUGACCUACUUUGUUAUAAUUGGCACUUUUGGCAAUGCGACUCCACCCUUGAGUUCAACUCCACUUAGUUUUUUUUUUUGUUAAAAAAAUGUUUUUCCUUUCCAUUGCAUCUUUUCUUACUGCUAUUUUCAGCUCUUUAUCAUGGUAAUUCCUUCAGAGGAACCUGCUAGGGGUGUUCUAGACCUUUGUGAGGCACAUGCAUCACAUGCCACAAGUCUAGUGUUUUGUAAAAUAAACGAACUAAGACGUAUUCAGGAGGGUAGGGUAAAAAGGUUACUGCAAGGUAGUCAAAACACACCAAAGGUACCCAAUAGAGAGUAAAAUAAAGUUCUUAGUUUAUGCAGCCUCCAAAGUCAUACACAAAAGGCACAUAAAAAGUAGCAAACAACAGUUUCACUGGUCUUCCACUUUAGCAGGGACAUUGCUCCACAGAUGUAAAGGGUUUUCCACUAAUCAUCUUUGGAAGAUGGUGAGACUUACAUAUUUGGUUAUUGCAUAUCAUAGGAGUACUUGUUGUAGGAUUUUAAGGAUGAUAGAAUGCUGAGUGAUGGAUUUCUUAAUGAAUUAUGAUCAAUAUUGACAUUUUAGUGCUAUUGAUAAAAGAUACUAGUUUGAAAAUGGGUGUUAGCAUUAGGAACUAAGUGCCUGAAGUAGGUGCACAACCAUAAGAAAACAAGAAUUUUGGCUACCAGGCACAAUUGCACAGCUCAAAAUCUUUAACUAUUGUUUCUGAUCUCUAUAGAUUUCUUCCUCGUUCUUUCCUCUUCUUAAUCUAAGGAUUACUAUAUGCUAGUCGCUGAAUUGUUCAUGGCUGCUAAAACUUUUUCUAAUUAUCUAAAGAUGCAUGAGUUGGAGAAUCCGAUCCAUGUUGAGAUGUAACUGUUGUUCUUCAAGGCUUGAAUGUGCCAUUAUGAUCAUGAAAAUUACCUUUUAUGACCUGCUACUUGUAGAAGGAAGACAAGUAGUUUCUGUAUAUCAGUACAUGUGAAGAGAUUUCCUAAUUUCUUUGGAUCACUACUUUAUGAUUUGGUUAUAAAAAUUAACAACUUUCAAAAUUUAUGACUAUUCAAUCGCUUAGAUUCUGUUUAGACUUGUUUCAACACCUUAUUUUUAAGUUAAAUUCGAAUUAUUUUGAUAACAUGGGAUAGUUCCUACAAAAAAAGAAAAAAGAAAAGAAAGAUGUCAUAUAAUAGCUUCAUCAAGAGGAUCUAAUUGGGUUGAUGGGGAUUCAAAAUGCACAAGACUUAAUAAAGGCCCUAGUUUCUUGAAGUUCAGAUAUGCGAUUUUAUUAGAAGUGAACUAGCUUGGUUGAACUUUUAAAGAAAAUAGCUCAUAGUUGACCAAAUUCCAAGUUGGGCUUUGG
This 1527-nucleotide long non-coding RNA is filed under the name Elaeis guineensis (African oil palm). RNAcentral describes it as "long non-coding RNA (EGUI_LNC082468)". Lineage: Eukaryota; Viridiplantae; Streptophyta; Magnoliopsida; Arecales; Arecaceae. The record is from RNAcentral.